This 576-nucleotide long non-coding RNA is filed under the name Homo sapiens (human). RNAcentral's name for it is "HOXD antisense growth-associated long non-coding RNA". Lineage: Eukaryota; Metazoa; Chordata; Mammalia; Primates; Hominidae. The record is from RNAcentral.
GUUCCCCGCAGGGGCCCGGGGCGCCCUGAAACGGGGUCCACGUCAGCCCGCUCCCGAGCGUGUCCUCAGGUCUAAGGACGGCGCUGUGAACAAUGGAGCCAUCAAAAAGGCCUUCUCCCAGCCUCCUCACCAACCACGGACAUUCCUGGCCCAACAAGACCUCCUGGCCAGGUUUUGAGCCCUGCUUCCCAGAUCUGGGGACCCUUCACCUGCCUCUACUACUGCAAAUGAUUGGAUAUUCGUCUGACUUGGCUCUUCCCUAAUGUGUGGAACUAAUUUUGUUCACUCUGUUUCAUGCUGGACCUGGCCUGAAAAUGGGCCCUUAUAUUGUCUUUGCACUUUCCAACUUGCCAAGUUUCUGAAAGAAGGACCAAAGUAAUGCCAAGAACUCCCAGAUGAAGAGGACCUUCCUUAGACCUAUAACAGAUUCACUACUUGACUUCAGAGGGAAGUUUCAGCUAAUUCUCAGGAAAAGGUCAAAACAGGCCUGUGACUGUCCCUUGAAUACUGAAGGUAUAAACAAGCUUCUGGCUCCUCCAGGUCAAGCAGAGGAACACUUUUAUUAGAAUGAAGGGU